Molecule: ribosomal RNA, 558 nt
Filed under: Massilia varians
Lineage: Bacteria; Pseudomonadati; Pseudomonadota; Betaproteobacteria; Burkholderiales; Oxalobacteraceae
Description: bacterial SSU rRNA
Rfam family: Bacterial small subunit ribosomal RNA
Source: RNAcentral
CAUCGCUGGGCGCAGCCUGAUCCAGCAUGCCGCGUGAGUGAAGAAGGCCUUCGGGUUGUAAAGCUCUUUUGUCAGGGAAGAAACGGCUCCGGCUAAUAUCCGGGGCUAAUGACGGUACCUGAAGAAUAAGCACCGGCUAACUACGUGCCAGCAGCCGCGGUAAUACGUAGGGUGCAAGCGUUAAUCGGAAUUACUGGGCGUAAAGCGUGCGCAGGCGGUUUUGUAAGUCUGACGUGAAAGCCCCGGGCUCAACCUGGGAAUUGCGUUGGAGACUGCAAGGCUUGAAUCUGGCAGAGGGGGGUAGAAUUCCACGUGUAGCAGUGAAAUGCGUAGAGAUGUGGAGGAACACCGAUGGCGAAGGCAGCCCCCUGGGUCAAGAUUGACGCUCAUGCACGAAAGCGUGGGGAGCAAACAGGAUUAGAUACCCUGGUAGUCCACGCCCUAAACGAUGUCUACUAGUUGUCGGGUUUUAAUUAACUUGGUAACGCAGCUAACGCGUGAAGUAGACCGCCUGGGGAGUACGGUCGCAAGAUUAAAACUCAAAUGAAAUUUGACGGA